AUGACCCGGUUGAUGGAUGAUACC
Molecule: non-coding RNA, 24 nt
Filed under: Gossypium hirsutum (cotton)
Lineage: Eukaryota; Viridiplantae; Streptophyta; Magnoliopsida; Malvales; Malvaceae
Source: RNAcentral